This 291-nucleotide ribosomal RNA is filed under the name uncultured Oscillospiraceae bacterium. RNAcentral describes it as "partial 16S ribosomal RNA". It matches the Rfam family "Bacterial small subunit ribosomal RNA", at positions 1093 to 1382 of the family's 1533-position model. Lineage: Bacteria; Bacillati; Bacillota; Clostridia; Eubacteriales; Oscillospiraceae. The record is from RNAcentral.
CGAGCGCAACCCCUGUGGUUAGUUGCCAGCAAGUAGCGUUGGGCACUCUAGCCAGACUGCCGGUAAUAAAUACGGAGGAAGGUGGGGACGACGUCAAAUCAUCAUGCCCUUUAUGUCCUGGGCUACACACGUACUACAAUGGCCGUUACAACGGGAAGCGAAGGAGCAAUCCGGAGCAAAUCCCUUAAAGGCGGUCCCAGUUCAGAUUGUGGGCUGAAACUCGCCCACAUGAAGGCGGAAUUGCUAGUAAUUGCAGAUCAGCAUGCUGCAGUGAAUACGUUCCCGGGCCUU